This 454-nucleotide ribosomal RNA is filed under the name Clostridioides difficile. Its description in RNAcentral is "bacterial LSU rRNA". It matches the Rfam family "Bacterial large subunit ribosomal RNA", at positions 2429 to 2885 of the family's 2925-position model. The record is from RNAcentral. Lineage: Bacteria; Bacillati; Bacillota; Clostridia; Peptostreptococcales; Peptostreptococcaceae.
CUGCGUGGAAGGGCCAUCGCUCAACGGAUAAAAGCUACCCUGGGGAUAACAGGCUUAUCUCCCCCAAGAGUCCACAUCGACGGGGAGGUUUGGCACCUCGAUGUCGGCUCAUCACAUCCUGGGGCUGUAGUAGGUCCCAAGGGUUGGGCUGUUCGCCCAUUAAAGUGGUACGCGAGCUGGGUUCAGCACGUCGUGAGACAGUUCGGUCCCUAUCCGUCGCAGGCGUAGGAAAUUUGAGAAGACCUGUCCUUAGUCCGAGAGGACCGGGAUGGACGUACCUCUGGUGUACCAGUUGUCCUGCCAAGGGCAUGGCUGGGUAGCUAUGUACGGAAUGGAUAAGCGCUGAAAGCAUCUAAGCGCGAAGCCAACUUCAAGAUAAGAUUUCCCACCGCAAGGGUAAGACCCCAGAAAGACUAUCUGGUUGAUAGGUCGAAGGUGUAAGUGCAGCAAUGUA